This 497-nucleotide ribosomal RNA is filed under the name uncultured bacterium. Its description in RNAcentral is "partial 16S ribosomal RNA". It matches the Rfam family "Bacterial small subunit ribosomal RNA", at positions 28 to 507 of the family's 1533-position model. The record is from RNAcentral.
GAUGAACGCUGGCGGCGUGCCUAAUACAUGCAAGUCGAGCGAACAGACGAGGAGCUUGCUCCUCUGACGUUAACGGCGGACGGGUGAGUAACACGUGGAUAACCUACCUAUAAGACUGGGAUAACUUCGGGAAACCGGAGCUAAUACCGGAUAAUAUAUUGAACCGCAUGGUUCAAUAGUGAAAGACGGUUUUGCUGUCACUUAUAGAUGGAUCCGCGCCGCAUUAGCUAGUUGGUAAGGUAACGGCUUACCAAGGCAACGAUGCGUAGACGACCUGAGAGGGUGAUAGGCCACACUGGAAGUGAGACACGGUCCAGACUCCUACGGGAGGCAGCAGUAGGGAAUCUUCCGCAAUGGGCGAAAGCCUGACGGAGCAACGCCGCGUGAGUGAUGAAGGUCUUCGGAUCGUAAAACUCUGUUAUUAGGGAAGAACAAAUGUGUAAGUAACUAUGCACGUCUUGACGGUACCUAAUCAGAAAGCCACGGCUAACUACGUG